RNAcentral lists this ribosomal RNA (465 nucleotides) under uncultured Anaerolineaceae bacterium. RNAcentral's name for it is "bacterial SSU rRNA". It matches the Rfam family "Bacterial small subunit ribosomal RNA", at positions 901 to 1382 of the family's 1533-position model. The record is from RNAcentral. Lineage: Bacteria; Bacillati; Chloroflexota; Anaerolineae; Anaerolineales; Anaerolineaceae.
UUAAAGGAAUUGACGGGCCCCGCACAAGCAGCGGAGCGUGUGGUUUAAUUCGAUGCUACGCGAAGAACCUUACCAGGGUUUGACAUACAAGUAGUAGGGAAAGGAAACUGGACCGACCUUCGGGAGCUUGUACAGGUGCUGCAUGGCUGUCGUCAGCUCGUGUCGUGAGAUGUUCGGUUAAGUCCGCUAACGAGCGCAACCCUCGCUGUGUGUUACAAGUGUCACACGGAACUGCCGGUAUCAAGCCGGAGGAAGGUGGGGAUGACGUCAAGUCAGCAUGGCCUUUAUGUCUGGGGCUACACACACGCUACAAUGGCCAGUACAAUAGGUUGCAAGACCGCGAGGUGGAGCCAAUCCUUAAAGCUGGUCUCAGUUCGGAUUGCAGGCUGCAACUCGCCUGCAUGAAGUCGGAGUUGCUAGUAACCGCGCGUCAGCCAUAGUGCGGUGAAUACGUUCCCGGGCCUU